Molecule: ribosomal RNA, 1316 nt
Filed under: Lamprotula gottschei
Lineage: Eukaryota; Metazoa; Mollusca; Bivalvia; Unionida; Unionidae
Description: 16S ribosomal RNA
Rfam family: Archaeal large subunit ribosomal RNA (bases 863-1219)
Source: RNAcentral
UAACACAUCUAUUAACAUUCAUAAUGCUAUGAUACAAGGAUGUAACUAAACGAGUAUUUUAAAACAAAAUUCAACCAUAGAUACCCGCAAGGAUAUACCUACACCUUUAAAUUUCAGAAGUGAUAUACCCACCUACCUUUUGCAUAAUGUAAUUGCAAGAAAAACCAAUCUAAAAUUGUUUCCCGAAAAGUGGAGAGCUACUAUAAACAUUAACCCUUAAUGUAACACUAUUAAAACACAGUUUAUAGUAGCAGCGAAAUACCUAUCGAGCCACUUGAUAGCUGGCUGCUCCUAAAAGAUAUAUAAGUGUCUUCUUACAAUAUAGACUAAAUUACUCCGUUGUAAGGAAAACUCUAAGAGGGACAAGCCCCUUAGAACCAUUAGAAAUAAUAAAAUAACAACAUGUCAAAAAGGCUUAAAAACAGCCAUAACAUAUCCGUCACAGGAAAUGAAACUAAAGAUCUUAAAAUAAAACAUAAAAUUCUACCCACCAAGGAACCUAAAAGAACAACUUAAUCUUUAACGAACUGGCAACUAUUAGUAUCUUAACAAAGCACUUAAUAAGUCAACCAAUAAACAAAACAACUCCUUAAAAUUUAAUUUAGCCUAACUUAUUCAUUGAUAAUGAAUUCGGCAAAAAUUUUCUUUGCCUGUUUAUCAAAAACAUCGUCUUUUGACACCCACACCUAUAAAAGAUACUGCCUGCCCCAUGAUUUUUUAAUUAAAUGGCCGCGUUAGCGUGAGCGUGCUAAGGUAGCGUAAUAAACAGCUCUCUAAUUAGGAGCCAGUGAAAGGCCAAACGAAGAAAAACUUUAUCAUCAAUGACAAGAAAACUUUUCCUCUAAGUGAAAAGACUUAGAUAAAAGAAAAAGACAAAAAGACCCCGCGGAACUUCCCUUACAGCUUUAUACUUAAAUUAAACUUAUGCUUAUAGCUAAUUGGUUGGUUGGGGCAACCUUGGAGCACACAAAACCUCCAUUCACUCCAAAAAACUAUACAAAACUUAAUAUGGAACAUACUCGCAGUUACCCCGGGGAUAACAGCGUAAUUCAACUUAAGAGUACGAAUCGAAAGUUGAGUUUGCGACCUCGAUGUUGGCUUAGGGAAAAGCAAUUUGGCGCAGCCGCUAAAUCCGCAAUGCUAGUCUGUUCGACUACUAACCCCCUACACGAGCUGAGUUAAGACCGGCGAGAGCUAGGUUGGAUUCUAUCUUUUCUUUCCAAAUUAAAUUCUUUAUUGUACGAAAGGACCCAAAGAAGCACACAAAAGUGCCUUAAAUAAAUCAACACAACAAUUUAACAAAAAUCUCAACGAGU